GGAGGGYGCGAGCGUUGUUCGGAAUUACUGGGCGUAAAGGGCGCGUAGGCGGCCGCCUAAGUCAGACGUGAAAUCCCUCGGCUCAACCGGGGAACUGCGUCUGAUACUGGGUGGCUUGAAUCCGGGAGAGGGAUGCGGAAUUCCAGGUGUAGCGGUGAAAUGCGUAGAUAUCUGGAGGAACACCGGUGGCGAAGGCGGCAUCCUGGACCGGUAUUGACGCUGAGGCGCGAAAGCCAGGGGAGCAAACGGGAUUAGAUACCCCGGUAGUCCUGGCCCUAAACGAUGAGUGCUUGGUGUGGCGGGUAUCGAUCCCUGCCGUGCCGAAGCUAACGCAUUAAGCACUCCGCCUGGGGAGUACGGUCGCAAGGCUG
RNAcentral lists this ribosomal RNA (371 nucleotides) under uncultured bacterium. Its description in RNAcentral is "bacterial SSU rRNA". It matches the Rfam family "Bacterial small subunit ribosomal RNA", at positions 527 to 896 of the family's 1533-position model. The record is from RNAcentral.